UGCUAUCGAGGUUCGACUAAGGCCAUGCGAGUCGAAUGUAGCAAUACAUGGCGAACUGCUCAGUAACACGUGGACAGCUGCCCUUAGGACGGGGAUAAACCCGGGAAACUGGGUAUAAUACCCGAUAGGUCUCGAUUGCUGGAAUGCAUCGAGAUUUAAAGCUCCGGCGCCUAAGGAUGGGUCUGCGGCCUAUCAGGUAGUAGUGGGUGUAGCGUACAUACUAGCCUACGACGGGUACGGGUUGUGAGAGCAAGAGCCCGGAGAUGGAUUCUGAGACACGAAUCCAGGCCCUACGGGGUGCAGCAGGCGCGAAAACUUUACAAUGCUGGCAACAGCGAUAAGGGAACCUCGAGUGCCAGGUUACAAAUCUGGCUGUCGAGAUGCCUAAAAAGCAUUUCAUAGCAAGGGCCGGGCAAGACCGGUGCCAGCCGCCGCGGUAACACCGGCGGCUCGAGUGGUAACCGUUAUUAUUGGGUCUAAAGGGUCUGUAGCCGGCCGGAUAAGUCUCUUGAGAAAUCUGGCAGCUUAACUGUCAGGCUUUCAGGAGAUACUGUCUGGCUCGAGGCCGGGAGAGGUGAGAGGUACUUCAGGGGUAGGGGUGAAAUCUUGUAAUCCUUGAAGGACCACCAGUGGCGAAGGCGUCUCACCAGAACGGACCUGACGGCAAGGGACGAAAGCUAGGGGCACGAACCGGAUUAGAUACCCGGGUAGUCCUAGCCGUAAACGAUACUCGCUAGGUGUCGGCCACGGUGCGACCGUUGUCGGUGCCGUAGGGAAGCCGUGAAGCGAGCCACCUGGGAAGUACGGCCGCAAGGCUGAAACUUAAAGGAAUUGGCGGGGGAGCACCACAACGGGUGGAGCUUGCAGUUUAAUUGGAUUCAACGCCGGAAAUCUUACCGGGACCGACAGCAAUAUGAAGGCCAGGCUGAAGACUUUGCCGGAUUAGCUGAGAGGUGGUGCAUGGCCGUCGUCAGUUCGUACUGUGAAGCAUUCUGUUAAGUCAGGCAACGAGCGAGACCCAAAGGGCGAUCCA
RNAcentral lists this ribosomal RNA (1033 nucleotides) under uncultured Methanosaeta sp. Its description in RNAcentral is "bacterial SSU rRNA". It matches the Rfam family "Archaeal small subunit ribosomal RNA", at positions 28 to 1066 of the family's 1478-position model. The record is from RNAcentral. Lineage: Archaea; Methanobacteriati; Methanobacteriota; Methanomicrobia; Methanotrichales; Methanotrichaceae.